RNAcentral lists this ribosomal RNA (264 nucleotides) under uncultured Actinomycetales bacterium. Its description in RNAcentral is "partial 16S ribosomal RNA". It matches the Rfam family "Bacterial small subunit ribosomal RNA", at positions 524 to 787 of the family's 1533-position model. The record is from RNAcentral. Lineage: Bacteria; Bacillati; Actinomycetota; Actinomycetes; Actinomycetales.
UACGUAGGGCGCAAGCGUUGUCCGGAAUUAUUGGGCGUAAAGAGCUCGUAGGCGGUCUGUCGCGUCUGCUGUGAAAUCCCGAGGCUCAACCUCGGGCUUGCAGUGGGUACGGGCAGACUAGAGUGCGGUAGGGGAGAAUGGAAUUCCUGGUGUAGCGGUGGAAUGCGCAGAUAUCAGGAGGAACACCGAUGGCGAAGGCAGUUCUCUGGGCCGUAACUGACGCUGAGGAGCGAAAGCGUGGGGAGCGAACAGGAUUAGAUACCC